This is a long non-coding RNA of Sapajus apella (tufted capuchin), 102 nucleotides long. RefSeq lists it as uncharacterized. The record is from RefSeq and is a predicted model, not a curated record. NCBI's taxonomy places the organism in Eukaryota, Metazoa, Chordata, Mammalia, Primates, Cebidae. The transcript has 4 exons.
UCUUCAAUUUAGCAGCAUUUUCAACAUUUUCUGUAAGUACUUCUUGACUACUUAUGCCUCAUCUCUGUUCUUUUAAAACACCUAAUUUAUAUACACCAAAUU